UACGUAGGGUGCGAGCGUUGUCCGGAUUUAUUGGGCGUAAAGCGAGCGCAGGUGGUUUAAUAAGUCUGAUGUAAAAGGCAGUGGCUCAACCAUUGUGUGCAUUGGAAACUGUUAGACUUGAGUGCAGUAGAGGAGAGUGGAAUUCCCGGUGUAGCGGUGAAAUGCGUAGAUAUCGGGAGGAACGCCGGUGGCGAAGGCGGCCACCUGGUCAGAAACUGACGCUGAGGUACGAAAGCGUGGGGAGCAAACAGG
This 252-nucleotide ribosomal RNA is filed under the name uncultured microorganism. Its description in RNAcentral is "partial 16S ribosomal RNA". It matches the Rfam family "Bacterial small subunit ribosomal RNA", at positions 524 to 776 of the family's 1533-position model. The record is from RNAcentral.